GAUGAACGCUAGCUACAGGCUUAACACAUGCAAGUCGAGGGGCAGCACAGUGUAGCAAUACAGUGGGUGGCGACCGGCGCACGGGUGCGUAACGCGUAUCCAACUUCCCGUUACUCAGGGAUAGCCUUCCGAAAGGGGAGAUUAAUACCUGAUGGUAUUCAAAUUUCGCAUGUUAUUUGAAUUAAAGAUUUAUCGGUAACGGAUGGGGAUGCGUGACAUUAGAUAGUAGGCGGGGUAACGGCCCACCUAGUCUACGAUGCUAGGGGUUCUGAGAGGAAGGUCCCCCACAUUGGAACUGAGACACGGUCCAAACUCCUACGGGAGGCAGCAGUGAGGAAUAUUGGUCAAUGGACGAAAGUCUGAACCAGCCAAGUCGCGUGAAGGAUGAAGGUUCUAUGGAUUGUAAACUUCUUUUGUCUGAGGGUAAAAAAGCGGACGUGUCCGUUCUUGCAAGUAUCAGACGAAUAAGCAUCGGCUAACUCCGUG
This 486-nucleotide ribosomal RNA is filed under the name uncultured bacterium. RNAcentral's name for it is "bacterial SSU rRNA". It matches the Rfam family "Bacterial small subunit ribosomal RNA", at positions 28 to 507 of the family's 1533-position model. The record is from RNAcentral.